This 206-nucleotide ribosomal RNA is filed under the name uncultured bacterium. Its description in RNAcentral is "partial 16S ribosomal RNA". It matches the Rfam family "Bacterial small subunit ribosomal RNA", at positions 28 to 236 of the family's 1533-position model. The record is from RNAcentral.
GACGAACGCUGGCGGCGUGCUUAACACAUGCAAGUCGAGCGGUAAGGCCCUUCGGGGGUACACGAGCGGCGAACGGGUGAGUAACACGUGGGUGACCUGCCCUCAGCUCUGGGAUAAGCCUGGGAAACCGGGUCUAAUACUGGAUAUGACUCCAUGACGCAUGUUGUGGGGUGGAAAGCCUUGUGCGGCUGAGGAUGGGCCCGCGG